RNAcentral lists this non-coding RNA (101 nucleotides) under Enterococcus rivorum. RNAcentral's name for it is "TPP sequence". It matches the Rfam family "TPP riboswitch aptamer (THI element)". Rfam says of the family: Vitamin B(1) in its active form thiamin pyrophosphate (TPP) is an essential coenzyme that is synthesised by coupling of pyrimidine and thiazole moieties in bacteria. The record is from Rfam by way of RNAcentral. Lineage: Bacteria; Bacillati; Bacillota; Bacilli; Lactobacillales; Enterococcaceae.
AAUAAGUACUAGGGGAGUCGUUAUGACUGAGAUGUUCUGCUUGAAUAAACCCUUUGAACCUGUGAGUUGAUACUCGCGUAGGGAAGUCGUCUAAAAAUAGC